AGUUAGGAGUGGAGCUAUGUAGAAGGAGUAGAAAUUUGUUUUGGUAAUAUGAUAGUCUUUUCUUGUAUUUGAAUUCUCCUCUAUGGAUUUAUUCUAAAAGAAAUUUGAAGAAUAAGUAAAACAAUAACCACAAUCAUUUUAGAAGAGAGGAUUUUGGAUGCUAAGAUUGAAUUUACUUUAAAAAAAGCUUUUAGUAUUGCUAAGAAAGGUUUUUAUAAGCUUA
This 223-nucleotide long non-coding RNA is filed under the name Physcomitrium patens. Its description in RNAcentral is "long non-coding RNA (PPAT_LNC012899)". Lineage: Eukaryota; Viridiplantae; Streptophyta; Bryopsida; Funariales; Funariaceae. The record is from RNAcentral.